This is a long non-coding RNA of Amphibalanus amphitrite, 249 nucleotides long. RefSeq lists it as uncharacterized. Lineage: Eukaryota; Metazoa; Arthropoda; Thecostraca; Balanomorpha; Balanidae. The record is from RefSeq and is a predicted model, not a curated record. The transcript has 3 exons.
UCCCGUCCCAGCAUUGGCAGCACCAUCACCAGCACCGCCGGCCUCAGGACCAAGCCCACCACCAGCGGGCGUUGACGGAGGCGGGUGUGCGGCUCUGGCGCAGCUGAGCCGUCGACCGCCGGAGCCAAUCCGGCAGUCCGGCAUUUCAGCUGCCGCACACUCGCCCGUCACAGGAUCAGAGGCCUCCCGAGACAGCUUCCCGUUUCCGACCGGCUGAGACGGGUGAGCGGCGGUGACGCAGCUGAGACG